GCUGGUCCCGGCUCUCGCGGUGCCCGGCCGCAGUGGGGCGCCGCCUUUCCCCGUUGACUGGAUUGCUGCUCUGGUACCUUCGUCCCCUUGAGCGAACAUUCUGUGACUCAGGCUUGAAUUGGAUUUAACUGAGCCUGUUAACCAGAGAAAACGUAGGCUGAGUUUUCCUGGGAUUACAUCAUCUUCCUCCUCUUUUCAGAUCAUUCUAGCCUUUGGCCGCCGCAAAACGUCGGCAACACGAUUGUGAACACAUAGUGACCUCUGGAAAUGGUUUUCCACCAGUCCGCCCUCACUCCGCUGUACACAUGGCCCAAGGUUCCAUGAACUCCCAGAACAAAAUGCAAAUUGGGAUUCUCUGCACUUUGCCUCCACUUCGGAGAACCACUUCGGAUAACUGCUCUGGAGUUCGGUUUGAAUUAUAAUAUCACCCACUGUGCUGUGUGUUGAAAGGCUUGCAGCAGUGACCUCAUUCAGGAUUAGCCAAUUUGGUUUUUGCGAGACUUUGGAACUGGACCAAGGGUACAAGGGUACGUUAGUCCAUCUCUGCUGGUGACUUGAAGAGAAAACGUGAACUUGAUGGUUGUCCACUUGGAAGCAAGAAAACUUAUUUUCAGAGGGAGAAGCAGCAGCAGUUUUCAGAAUACUACUAAUGAUAAACCAAGGAUUGAGGUGGGGAGAAUGAGACAUGUUGAUGAAGAUGUUUUUGUAACAGGUAACAAAUUCAUUUGGGGAUAUGCUUGACAUGUAGCCUUUUAGAUGGAAGCCAGGAAGGUAACAUCUGACAGCUGACUGUAGUCACUAAGCCACUUGUAAACAUCCACUUUUCUCAUUACAAACUCAUGAACAUCCUCUCAAAUUAGAAGGAUUCAUUUUGAAAACUUUGGAGAGAUAAGGAAAUUCCUAAGAUAAAGGGCUUUACGUGUGUUACAUGGAAGCCACUGUAAGAGAGGAAGGAUGUUCUAGAGCAAUUCGAGUUCAGUGUGACAUCAGCAUGGCAACCAGAGGGAAAGACAGUUUUAUAUCUGGUUGUAGGACACACAGGCCACUGAACUCGUUUGGCCUUCUGUAGGUGAUUGCCAUGUGUGUAUUUAGUCGCGUGGUACCUGGCUGUACAAAAGAGGCAAUGAUCCUCUAUGUAAAAUUCUAUCAGUCACGCACACGUACAAAUCGAAGUGUUCACAUCAAACAACAGCGUUUGUCCAUUCUCUCAUCUAUUUGUAAUUGAAGCAAGAAAAUCAGAGCUAUUUAAGAGUGGCUCUUUUUUAAAGAGUAAGUUAUACAACUGAAUCCUCUUGCUAAGUAAUUAAAAGUGUUCUUUCCCAGAGAGAGAAAACAAAUAAGGUAUUUAAUUUUUUUAAAGCUCCUUUUCCCUUCAAAGGUUCCUGAAAUCAGACAACCGCCUUAGAAUAGUUAGCGGGCUGAUUGCAGCUAAAGAAAACUCAAUCCCUUAUGUUAGUUAUACGUGCGGGCUUCCUCCUCAGUAACUGAUCAGCUCCUUUAAGGAUCUCUCAUCUCAUGCCCUGAACUGUGCAUUCUCUUGUUUUUCUCACUUUAACUGGGAAAUAAAGCCACUAGUUAUUAAUUGGAAAAUAUUUUUAAAAAAUGGAGUAGGGGGUUGAGAAAAAUCUUAAAACACAGUAUAAAAGAAUGAAAUUUUGAAAAAAAAAGAAACAAGUCUUCAUUAUCCCAACAUCAGUACAAAGAUUGCUUUUGUACUUUGGAAAUUUAAGAAAAGCCAAUGAAGAAAUUAUGAAUUUAAUAGCUGGAAAGGUAAAGAGAAAGAGAGAGAGAGUGGUUGUAUGGAAAGAGAGGCCAGAGGCCUAUAUGACAUUCCUAUUAGUGUUUCUAUUAGGCACUCAUACACAGAGCAUUAGGGAACUGAGAAUUUCUUUGCAUUAAAUUAUAUGUAACUAAAUAUAAUCAAAUUGCACCAUGGCUCAGGAUGUGAAGCUAGCAAACAUAUGCACUGCAAAAUUCAGCUGGGUUUUUUCAGCUUUAAAGAAAGUGUUAAACAAGAAUCUCAAGAUAUAAAAGCUAAUGAACUAAAUUACCAAAAUGAAAUGCAUUCCCUUAACUUAUUCAGCAGAAUUUAAUGAGAAGAGAAAUCAUCACUCUUUAGAAUGCUACAAGUCUUGGAUUUUUGGAGGAAUGUUUUAUACAGCAUAUCCUAGGAAAAGAUGAAGAACACUCUAGAAUACUUGGAAAUUUCCUAGCUAUCUGGGCUGGUUGAUGUUUUUCUAAAAGAAAUUCAAGAGAAGAGUACCAAUUUUCAAAUAUAUUUCAAAAUAAGUGAAAUUAAAGGUAACAAUUACUUAAUACUAUGAUGCAUGAGUUUUCAAAAAAUACAUGGGGAAGGAUAUGUGGUUUGGGGCAGUGCUAACAUAAUGAAUAAUCAUAUCAUAUACCAAAUUUUGAAUUUUCUUUCUAAUAUUGCAACUGACCCAAAGACCCUGCAGUGAGGAACAGUUUAGACUUAUGGUACCAAUACACAUACCUAAUAAGUAUGAUAUGGAACUGAAGAAGAAGAAAAAAAUCUAUAGGUUGCCAUUAAAAUCGUUUGAAAGAGUUAAGAGAAAAUGCAAAAGACAGAUUACACAUUUGGAAUGUAUGUACCUGGUGAUUUUAUUUAAAGAAAAAAAAAUAUAAGGGGCUCUGGAACUGAGCCAGGUGUAUAGGUGAGGACUGAACCUACAGCCAUACUAUUUCUCCCUCAACUACCAUGUAAGGAAAAUUAUGCACUUUAGGCAUUCUGUGGAAUGUGCUGAUUUUUGGAAGUUAAAAAGAGCUAUGUACAGUAAAACUAUAAGAUUCACAAAACAGAAAACGACAUCUUUAAUUUAGCUGGCCAUUUGAUAAGGCAACUUGUACAAGGCUUCUUGGAAUCAAAGCAUAAAGUACCAGCAAAGCUAAAAAAUUAUACUAAAUGAUUUACAGAAACAAGUACCAAGAUGCAAUUUUCCAGCCAUUAUAUUAAAAAAAAAAAAAAAAAAGAACCAAAACCUUUUCUAAAUCACCAAAUAGGGACUAUCAAAGUCAACAUAGACACUCAGAAUGCUGGAUUUUUUUUUUUUCUUUUUUGGUACAAGGAAAUGAAUAUUAUAAUGGGAAAUGGGAGGACAAAACAAAGAAUUCUGUAAGAAAAGUAUUAUAUGAUGAGUGUAACAAAGGCUACCAUCCAUAUUAGUUUUAUGGGUUGUAAAGGAUAUAAUAACUCAAUGAUAGGGACUUAACUUUUUAGAGUUUAAUGAUCAUUUUGGAGGAAAGGAUCUACCAUGAGCAACUCGACACAUGCUCCUGGAGUUGAGAUAGUUCUUAUUUAAUUUUUACUUCCAAGAACGUAUUGCUUUUAAUUGCAACAUAUGGCACAGAUGAAAAUCACUCUGGCGCUACAGAGUUUAAGAUUCGUUGCAAGAGUAUGUUCAACAAUGAAGCCAAGGAUGAGUAUCAAUAAGUGUUAUUGUACAUAGCCGACAGUAGUUUGGUUGGCGUAAAAGGGCCAAAGCCUCCGAACGAGCUUAGAAAAUGGGAAAAUUAGUUUUGCUGUUACCAAAGGAUUUCCAGCAAGGACUAUUUAAAUAGACCUGUUAAAUAUAAUUGAAAAAAACUAUUUCCACCAACUUUUAAACAAUAGCUUUACCUUUCCACGAGAUAUGCAUUUCUAUAAAGAUUUUAUAUUCAAUCAAAAAUGUUACCAAUACAUUUGCAUCUCUUUAUCUGGGGUGCUAAGGACACAUUUUUUAGGGAGAUACAGACAUCAGUAAAAGUUAUCUAACAGUAAACUAAGAUGAUGUGAAGCUGACCUUUAUUCCCCAUUCCAGAACUUUGAAAAGGUAUAGUAUAUUAGUGUUUCCUUAGCAAAUCUAUGUCAACAUUAAAUGAAAUACUCUGUCCCUGGUUCUCUAUUUCAUAUGAAGCACGGUGGCCAAACUGGGCCUUUCUAGGCUUCUCUGGAAAAGGUUCCCUAAUGCUACAGCUCGCAAUAGCACUUCUGACUUAGCGCUUGCUGGAAGUCGUAACUGUGUUCAUACUUAGGAAUCUGCAAUUCCUGUGUAGAGUUUCUCAAAAAGACCUGUUA
Long non-coding RNA from Nyctereutes procyonoides (raccoon dog), 4075 nucleotides. RefSeq lists it as uncharacterized. The record is from RefSeq and is a predicted model, not a curated record. Lineage: Eukaryota; Metazoa; Chordata; Mammalia; Carnivora; Canidae. The transcript has 3 exons.